This 181-nucleotide unclassified non-coding RNA is filed under the name Rozellomycota sp. Its description in RNAcentral is "Cryptomycota sp. partial contains small subunit ribosomal RNA, internal transcribed spacer 1, and 5.8S ribosomal RNA". The stretch from base 1 to 46 matches the Rfam family "Eukaryotic small subunit ribosomal RNA", at positions 1786 to 1831 of the family's 1831-position model. Lineage: Eukaryota; Fungi; Rozellomycota. The record is from RNAcentral.
AAGUCGUAACAAGGUUUCCGUAGGUGAACCUGCGGAAGGAUCAUUACAAAUCUCGAUAUCCACGAUUGGGAAUAGUAGGGGGGGGAUUCUCACAUCGACAAUUAUACUAUUGACACUUGUAUGUAUGAGUUACAAAACAACAACCAAAGAAUACCUUUUAACAAUGGAUCUCUUGGCUCUU